Molecule: ribosomal RNA, 672 nt
Filed under: Ruegeria sp. CUA-720
Lineage: Bacteria; Pseudomonadati; Pseudomonadota; Alphaproteobacteria; Rhodobacterales; Roseobacteraceae
Description: bacterial SSU rRNA
Rfam family: Bacterial small subunit ribosomal RNA
Source: RNAcentral
UCGAGCGCUCUCUUCGGAGGGAGCGGCGGACGGGUUAGUAACGCGUGGGAACGUACCCAGAUCUAAGGAAUAGCCACUGGAAACGGUGAGUAAUACCUUAUACGCCCUUCGGGGGAAAGAUUUAUCGGAUUUGGAUCGGCCCGCGUUAGAUUAGAUAGUUGGUGGGGUAACGGCCUACCAAGUCUACGAUCUAUAGCUGGUUUUAGAGGAUGAUCAGCAACACUGGGACUGAGACACGGCCCAGACUCCUACGGGAGGCAGCAGUGGGGAAUCUUGGACAAUGGGCGCAAGCCUGAUCCAGCCAUGCCGCGUGAGUGAUGAAGGCCUUAGGGUCGUAAAGCUCUUUCGCCUGUGAAGAUAAUGACGGUAGCAGGUAAAGAAACCCCGGCUAACUCCGUGCCAGCAGCCGCGGUAAUACGGAGGGGGUUAGCGUUGUUCGGAAUUACUGGGCGUAAAGCGCACGUAGGCGGACUGGAAAGUAUGGGGUGAAAUCCCAGGGCUCAACCCUGGAACUGCCUCAUAAACUAUCAGUCUAGAGUUCGAGAGAGGUGAGUGGAAUUCCGAGUGUAGAGGUGAAAUUCGUAGAUAUUCGGAGGAACACCAGUGGCGAAGGCGGCUCACUGGCUCGAUACUGACGCUGAGGUGCGAAAGUGUGGGGAGCAAACAGGAUUA